GUGCGAACUGGGAACAGCAUCCACUACGUGUUGGUGCCAGUCUCACCUCAGCAGAAAUUGGGAUUUUGCCAAAGGAUGACCUCUAUUGCAAGAUUCCUGAAUGGGGUGUGAAUAUGGAACUGCAGCUGGGAGGCCUGAAGGCGGUAGGAGCCCAGCCACCAGGAUUUCAUCCCAGCCUGAGCAGCAGGCUGUCAAAGAAGUCCAGAGGAAUGAAGUCCAAAACUGGUAUGAGGGACCCAUACCAAGCACUCUGCUGUCCAUAGUGCAUGGCUUCUAGGUUGUUCAUCGUCUAAUAUAGCUGCUGAAAAUCCAGCCAGCACAUGUGUGAUUCCAGGCAGGAAUCAGGAGUAAGCUGGGAAGAACAAAGAGAGGAGCAAUCUCCAGCUGCCUGUCCUCUUUUAGGGAGUUUUUCUGUGCACUGCUUCU
Long non-coding RNA from Manis pentadactyla (Chinese pangolin), 426 nucleotides. RefSeq lists it as uncharacterized. The transcript has 3 exons. NCBI's taxonomy places the organism in Eukaryota, Metazoa, Chordata, Mammalia, Pholidota, Manidae. The record is from RefSeq and is a predicted model, not a curated record.